UUGCUUCGGCAGCACAUACACUAAAAUUGGAACAAUACAGAGAAGAUCAGCAUGGCCCUGCGCGAGGAUGACAAGCAAAUUCGUGAAGCGUUCCAUAUUUUU
Molecule: small nuclear RNA, 102 nt
Filed under: Octodon degus (degu)
Lineage: Eukaryota; Metazoa; Chordata; Mammalia; Rodentia; Octodontidae
Source: RNAcentral